Molecule: ribosomal RNA, 481 nt
Filed under: uncultured bacterium
Lineage: Bacteria
Description: partial 16S ribosomal RNA
Rfam family: Bacterial small subunit ribosomal RNA
Source: RNAcentral
GAUGAACGCUGGCGGCGUGCUUAACACAUGCAAGUCGAACGAAGCACUUUAUUUGAUUUCCUUCGGGACUGAUUAUUUUGUGACUGAGUGGCGGACGGGUGAGUAACGCGUGGGUAACCUGCCUUGUACAGGGGGAUAACAGUUGGAAACGGCUGCUAAUACCGCAUAAGCGCCCAGCAUCGCAUGAUGCAGUGUGAAAAACUCCGGUGGUAUAAGAUGGACCCGCGUUGGAUUCGCUAGUUGGUGAGGUAACGGCCCACCAAGGCGACGAUCCAUAGCCGACCAGUGAGGGUGACCGGCGACAUUGGGAGGGAGACACGGCCCAAACUCCUACGGGAGGCAGCAGUGGGGAAUAUUGCACAAUGGGGUAAAGGCUGAUGCAGCGACGCUGCGUGAGCGAAGAAGUAUUUCGGUAUGUAAAGCUCUAUCAGCAGGGAAGAUAAUGACGGUACCUGACGAAGAAGCACCGGCUAAAUACGUG